GGAUGCAAUCAUACCAGUACUAAUGCAUCAGAUCCCAUCAAAACUCUAAAGUUAAGCAUAUUUGGGCAAGAGUAGUACUAAGAUUGGUGACCUCUUAAAAAGUCCUUGUGUUGCACCCA
RNAcentral lists this ribosomal RNA (119 nucleotides) under Nelumbo nucifera (sacred lotus). Lineage: Eukaryota; Viridiplantae; Streptophyta; Magnoliopsida; Proteales; Nelumbonaceae. The record is from RNAcentral.